GAAUUGUUCUAAAAUCUUAGGAUAAAAUUAUACAGAGAAGAUUAGCAUGGCCCCUGUGCAAGGAUGACAUGGAAAUAUGGGAAGUGUUCCAUAUUUUU
This is a small nuclear RNA of Salvator merianae (Argentine black and white tegu), 98 nucleotides long. The record is from Ensembl. Lineage: Eukaryota; Metazoa; Chordata; Lepidosauria; Squamata; Teiidae.